AGUGAACGCUGGCGGUAGGCCUAACACAUGCAAGUCGAACGGCAGCACAGCAAGAGCUUGCUCUUACGGGUGGCGAGUGGCGGACGGGUGAGGAAUACAUCGGAAUCUACUUUUUCGUGGGGGAUAACGUAGGGAAACUUACGCUAAUACCGCAUACGACCUACGGGUGAAAGCAGGGGAUCUUCGGACCUUGCGCGAUUGAAUGAGCCGAUGUCGGAUUAGCUAGUUGGCGGGGUAAAGGCCCACCAAGGCGACGAUCCGUAGCUGGUCUGAGAGGAUGAUCAGCCACACUGGAACUGAGACACGGUCCAGACUCCUACGGGAGGCAGCAGUGGGGAAUAUUGGACAAUGGGCGCAAGCCUGAUCCAGCCAUACCGCGUGGGUGAAGAAGGCCUUCGGGCUGUAAAGCCCUUUUGUUGGGAAAGAAAAGCAGCAGGUUAAUACCCCGCUGUUCUGACGGUACCCAAAGAAUAAGCACCGGCUAACUUCGU
Molecule: ribosomal RNA, 491 nt
Filed under: uncultured bacterium
Lineage: Bacteria
Description: partial 16S ribosomal RNA
Rfam family: Bacterial small subunit ribosomal RNA
Source: RNAcentral